UUCAAUUUCAGAAUGAAAAUUUUGUCAUCAUUUACUCAGCCUCAAUUUGUUCCAGUCCUGUAUAAAUUACUUUCUUCUGCUGAACACUGAAGAAGAUAUUUUGAAGAAUGUUGGUAACCAAACAGU
Sinocyclocheilus anshuiensis is the source of this 126-nucleotide long non-coding RNA. RefSeq lists it as uncharacterized. NCBI's taxonomy places the organism in Eukaryota, Metazoa, Chordata, Actinopteri, Cypriniformes, Cyprinidae. The record is from RefSeq and is a predicted model, not a curated record. The transcript has 3 exons.